RNAcentral lists this transfer RNA (89 nucleotides) under Acidimicrobiia bacterium. Its description in RNAcentral is "tRNA-Ser". It matches the Rfam family "tRNA". Rfam says of the family: Transfer RNA (tRNA) molecules are approximately 80 nucleotides in length. Their secondary structure includes four short double-helical elements and three loops (D, anti-codon, and T loops). Further hydrogen bonds mediate the characteristic L-shaped molecular structure. tRNAs have two regions of fundamental functional importance: the anti-codon, which is responsible for specific mRNA codon recognition, and the 3' end, to which the tRNAs corresponding amino acid is attached (by aminoacyl-tRNA synthetases). tRNAs cope with the degeneracy of the genetic code in two manners: having more than one tRNA (with a specific anti-codon) for a particular amino acid; and 'wobble' base-pairing, i.e. permitting non-standard base-pairing at the 3rd anti-codon position. The record is from RNAcentral. Lineage: Bacteria; Bacillati; Actinomycetota; Acidimicrobiia.
GGAGGGAUGGCCGAGCGGUCUAAGGCGUCGGUUUUGAAAACCGGUAGGCCCGGUAACGGGUCUCGUGGGUUCGAAUCCCACUCCCUCCG